GAUGAACGCUAGCGGCAGGCUUAAUACAUGCAAGUCGUGGGGCAGCAGGGGUAGCAAUACCCGCUGGCGACCGGCAAACGGGUGCGGAACACGUACGCAACCUUCCUUUAACUGGAGAAUAGCCCCUCGAAAGAGGGAUUAAUACUCCGUAACAUAUUGAUAAGGCAUCUUAUUACUAUUAUAGCUCCGGCGGUUAAAGAUGGGCGUGCGCCUGAUUAGAUAGUUGGCAGGGUAACGGCCACCAAGUCUGCGAUCAGUAACUGGUGUGAGAGCACGACCAGUCACACGGGCACUGAGACACGGGGCCCGA
RNAcentral lists this ribosomal RNA (310 nucleotides) under uncultured bacterium. RNAcentral describes it as "bacterial SSU rRNA". It matches the Rfam family "Bacterial small subunit ribosomal RNA", at positions 28 to 335 of the family's 1533-position model. The record is from RNAcentral.